UAUGGAUUCUGGUCUAAGCAGUGAGGUUUGGUAUGAGUCAAAUGCUUGUACCUAUAAGAUUGAGCUGUGAUGGGGAAGCACUUUCGAGUGCGAAGUACCUGAUGUCACACUGCCAAGAAAAUCUUCUAGCGUUUAAUUAUAACCUACCCGUACCGCAAACCGACACAGGUAGUCGAGGCGAGCAGCCUCAGGUGAGCGAGAGAACUCUCGUUAAGGAACUCGGCAAAAUGACCCCGUAACUUCGGGAGAAGGGGUGCUCUACAUUUGUAGAGCCGCAGUGAAUAGGCCCAAGCGACUGUUUAUCAAAAACACAGCUCUCUGCUAAAUCGUAAGAUGAUGUAUAGGGGGUGACGCCUGCCCGGUGCUGGAAGGUUAAGAGGAGUGCUUAGCGUAAGCGAAGGUAUGAAUUGAAGCCCCAGUAAACGGCGGCCGUAACGAUAACGGUCCUAAGGUAGCGAAAUUCCUUGUCGGGUAAGUUCCGACCCGCACGAAAGGCGUAACGAUUUGGGCACUGUCUCAACGAGAGACUCGGUGAAAUUUUAGUACCUGUGAAGAUGCAGGUUACCCGCGACAGGACGGAAAGACCCCAUGGAGCUUUACUGCAAGUUGAUAUUGAGUAUCUGUUGCACAUGUACAGGAUAGGUAGGAGCCAUUGAUCUGAGGACGCUAGUUUUCAGUGAGGCGAUGUUGGGAUACUACCCUUGUGUCAUGGCUACUCUAACCCGCAUGCCUAAUCGGCAUGGGAGACAGUGUCUGCUGGGCAGUUUGACUGGGGCGGUCGCCUCCUAAAGAGUAACGGAGGCGCUCAAAGUUUCCCUCAGCAUGGUUGGAAAUCAUGCGUAGAGUGUAAGGGUAUAAGGGAGAUUGACUGCGAGACUUACAAGUCGAGCAGGUACGAAAGUAGGACUUAGUGAUCCGGUGGUACCGCAUGGAAGGGCCAUCGCUCAACGGAUAAAAGCUACCCUGGGGAUAGCAGGCUUAUCUCCCCCAAGAGUUCACAUCGACGGGGAGGUUUGGCACCUCGAUGUCGGCUCGUCGCAUCCUGGGGCUGUAGUCGGUCCCAAGGGUUGGGCUGUUCGCCCAUUAAAGCGGCACGCGAGCUGGGUUCAGAACGUCGUGAGACAGUUCGGUCCCUAUCCGUCGCGGGCGUAGGAAAUUUGAGAGGAUCUGCCCUUAGUACGAGAGGACCGGGGUGGACUUACCGCUGGUGUACCAGUUGUCUUGCCAAAGGCAUCGCUGGGUAGCUAUGUAGGGAACGGAUAAACGCUGAAAGCAUCUAAGUGUGAAACCAACCUCAAGAUGAGAUUUCCCAUUCUUUAUGAAUUAAGAGCCCUGAGAGAUGAUCAGGUAGAUAGGCUAGAAGUGGAAGGACAGUGAUGUUUGGAGCGGACUAGUACUAAUAGCUCGAGGACUUUACCGA
Molecule: ribosomal RNA, 1420 nt
Filed under: metagenome
Description: bacterial LSU rRNA
Rfam family: Bacterial large subunit ribosomal RNA
Source: RNAcentral